GUCGUCGUCGGUCGUUCCGUUACUGUUACUCGUUGCAUUCACUCUCUCUUCUCAAUCGUUUUAUUGUUUAUUUAUUCGAGAAAUUACUUUAGGCAUCUCUUCCUCAUCUCCGGCAGCAGCGCAGUGAUGGGACGACGCGAUGUUCGCGCCGCGUCGAUCUUUCCUUAGUUCUGAAAGAAUUGCAUUCAUAAGCCCCCGCGUGCGGUGCGGUGUGUGGUGCGAAGCCACCCCCGGCCCGGUUUCCGAGAAGUUUUCGACUUUCAUAAACAUGUGAGUUUUUCAUUUUCUGCCUCUUUCGGUGUGAGGUGAGUAAUGCUGCGCUGUACCCGCAUCACCAGCAGCCGGCGAAGCGAGGCCUCCGCCGAAGAAGAGGACUCCGAUUAUGGGAUCGAAGCAGUCCACGAUGACGACGACGACGGUGGAUGCAAUUCGUAAACAUCACGUCUUCCUGCUGACCGCAGACAGGGUCUAUUGUGAAGGGGGGGGGGAGCAAAGGGAGGCUCUUGCUGGCAGCAUAACAACAACAACACGGCCCCGCAAACAUAAACAACCUGUCUGGAGAACGAUUUGCUUCGUUUCAAUCUUUAGGCAGAACUGCAUUAAAAUCUGCCAUCCACUGGUUGGAUGUAGUGGAUCUCCGGCCACUGUGGCAUUUGGGAAAACGAGUACGCUGAUACACUGGCAAACAUUGAACGGGACUGGCAAAUAUUGACCCCUCCAGAGAGGUGGCCUGAUAAACUGACGCGAGCAGGUUGUUUUGCCGGGGCUCCGCACGGGUCACAAAACACGACAACCGACCUAUGGAAAAACACUCUGGACGAAUGGAAGACCAUUAGCUUCUUGAAGGACAUCAAUCUGUUCAAAUAAAUCU
Armigeres subalbatus is the source of this 871-nucleotide long non-coding RNA. RefSeq lists it as uncharacterized. The record is from RefSeq and is a predicted model, not a curated record. The transcript has 3 exons. Lineage: Eukaryota; Metazoa; Arthropoda; Insecta; Diptera; Culicidae.